UAAUGGGUCAGCGACUUAUAUUCUGUAGCAAGGUUAACCGAAUAGGGGAGCCGAAGGGAAACCGAGUCUUAACUGGGCGUUAAGUUGCAGGGUAUAGACCCGAAACCCGGUGAUCUAGCCAUGGGCAGGUUGAAGGUUGGGUAACACUAACUGGAGGACCGAACCGACUAAUGUUGAAAAAUUAGCGGAUGACUUGUGGCUGGGGGUGAAAGGCCAAUCAAACCGGGAGAUAGCUGGUUCUCCCCGAAAGCUAUUUAGGUAGCGCCUCGUGAAUUCAUCUCCGGGGGUAGAGCACUGUUUCGGCAAGGGGGUCAUCCCGACUUACCAACCCGAUGCAAACUGCGAAUACCGGAGAAUGUUAUCACGGGAGACACACGGCGGGUGCUAACGUCCGUCGUGAAGAGGGAAACAACCCAGACCGCCAGCUAAGGUCCCAAAGUCAUGGUUAAGUGGGAAACGAUGUGGGAAGGCCCAGACAGCCAGGAUGUUGGCUUAGAAGCAGCCAUCAUUUAAAGAAAGCGUAAUAGCUCACUGGUCGAGUCGGCCUGCGCGGAAGAUGUAACGGGGCUAAACCAUGCACCGAAGCUGCGGCAGCGACACUAUGUGUUGUUGGGUAGGGGAGCGUUCUGUAAGCCUGUGAAGGUGGCCUGUGAGGGUUGCUGGAGGUAUCAGAAGUGCGAAUGCUGACAUAAGUAACGAUAAAGCGGGUGAAAAGCCCGCUCGCCGGAAGACCAAGGGUUCCUGUCCAACGUUAAUCGGGGCAGGGUGAGUCGACCCCUAAGGCGAGGCCGAAAGGCGUAGUCGAUGGGAAACAGGUUAAUAUUCCUGUACUUGGUGUUACUGCGAAGGGGGGACGGAGAAGGCUAUGUUGGCCGGGCGACGGUUGUCCCGGUUUAAGCGUGUAGGCUGGUUUUCCAGGCAAAUCCGGAAAACCAAGGCUGAGGCGUGAUGACGAGGCACUACGGUGCUGAAGCGACAAAUGCCCUGCUUCCAGGAAAAGCCUCUAAGCAUCAGGUAACAUCAAAUCGUACCCCAAACCGACACAGGUGGUCAGGUAGAGAAUACCAAGGCGCUUGAGAGAACUCGGGUGAAGGAACUAGGCAAAAUGGUGCCGUAACUUCGGGAGAAGGCACGCUGAUAUGUAGGUGAAGCGACUUGCUCGUGGAGCUGAAAUCAGUCGAAGAUACCAGCUGGCUGCAACUGUUUAUUAAAAACACAGCA
This 1221-nucleotide ribosomal RNA is filed under the name Escherichia coli. RNAcentral describes it as "partial 23S ribosomal RNA". It matches the Rfam family "Bacterial large subunit ribosomal RNA", at positions 613 to 1820 of the family's 2925-position model. Lineage: Bacteria; Pseudomonadati; Pseudomonadota; Gammaproteobacteria; Enterobacterales; Enterobacteriaceae. The record is from RNAcentral.